This is a long non-coding RNA of Cyprinodon variegatus (sheepshead minnow), 555 nucleotides long. RefSeq lists it as uncharacterized. The transcript is spliced from 3 exons. The record is from RefSeq and is a predicted model, not a curated record. NCBI's taxonomy places the organism in Eukaryota, Metazoa, Chordata, Actinopteri, Cyprinodontiformes, Cyprinodontidae.
AGAUAACCAAAGUUCUCCUUGAAGAAUACCCAAAACUGCGACAGUUACGUGGUGGCUGGCUUCUUCAAAAAGCCACUGGUGGGAGUGGCCAAAGGAAAACCACUCCGCUACCCCAGUCCUCAAUGGGUUACACAUCAAAAAUACUGAAGUCCUCCUCCAACAAUGGGAAGAAUACCAUCUAUAUCGUCCCAUUACAAGAAAAGAUAGACACUGUCCCUUUACCAUACAAUGCACCAGAAUUCGAGAAUAUGCCAAAAAAUGACUGCAUGACCUGCGGUGAAUCAGUUCCACUGCAGCUGCUACCUUUUCACCUUGAGUCUUGUCAGUGUGAUGAUAAUGUGGAACCUGUAGUGAUAGCGGAAAAUGACCAGGAGGAAGAUAUCAUUUGUAUGGUAAGCAAUCAUUUAGACAGAAAUUGACAAAAGUCAGAAACUACUAUGAAGGUAUCCAAAAUUUGUCACAGAUACGUAGAAGGUGGAUUUCACUGAUUGGAGACCUUGUGAUGUAAACAUUAUUUUAACCUCAAGAAAUCUGUCAUUUCAGUGUCACUUAAUG